RNAcentral lists this long non-coding RNA (2075 nucleotides) under Salvia miltiorrhiza (redroot sage). RNAcentral describes it as "long non-coding RNA (SMIL_LNC010782)". Lineage: Eukaryota; Viridiplantae; Streptophyta; Magnoliopsida; Lamiales; Lamiaceae. The record is from RNAcentral.
GCCGAUAGCUCGUGAAAGGGGUUAGGGAGAGAGAAGAAGAGAAUCAGGCGGAGAGCUGAGUAUCAGAGAAUAGGGAGUCGUUAGGUUGCGGCGUUUUUGUUGUCGACGGUGGGUUGGUGGCUGCGACACAGAUUGACAGCGGCAAGUAAUUGCCGAAAAUUGAGAAGUGAAAGGGAGAAAAUCAAAGGAUUUGACAGAUUUUGAGAAAAGGGUUUAUGUGUUCAACGCAAUUGAGAGAAAAAAGAUAAACAAGGAUAUAUGAGAAAAAGAGAUUUCUCUCUCCACCUAUUAUCAGCAACCUAAUUGCAAAAGAAAAUUCCCAAAUUUCGAACCCCUUGCCCUUACCCAAUUCUCAUCUUUUGCUAAUUCUACCACCACAUCGGCGAGUCGUCCUCUGACGGAGACUCAACCGUCAUUUGCUCAUCAAACUCUGAUGGAGACACAACCGCCGUCUUUUCUGCGCCGCCUCGAACAAACGUUGCCUAAAACUCCGGCUGGCCUGUAGCGUCACGCCGCCUCCAAGCGCAAGAGAAAGCCCAGCAAGUUUUCUUAUCUCUAUUCCAAUUUCGUUUUUCUAUUUCUUAUUCAGCAGACUUGAAUUUGUAUUUUUUUUUUCUGUUCUUAUUGAUUAUCAGCUGGAGCAAUUAUCUCUCAAAAAUGGCAGCUAUUAUUGGAGAUCGUUCAGAAACAAUUCGUUUCUGUUGAAGAGUUCGGGAAUGGACAGUGUGAAACAACAAGGAGCCUAACAAUCUCUACAACUUGCACUCUUACAAGCACUCCGGUCUGUUUCUCGAUUUUUUUUCCUAUGUGACAGUAUUUCAUUUUAUAAUUGAUGGAAAAAUAUGUCUAUAAAUAUGAUCCGUGAAAUUUUAUAAAUGUUUAUGUUUUUUUGUCCAAAAUGCUUGGGAAUUUGUUCUGUCAUUCCCUCGAGCAUAUCAUGUUGGAUUUAAUUAUGGCUUUAAUUGUGCUGAAGCAGUUAAUGUUGCUCCUGUUGAUUGGUUACCUCAUGGACAUAAUGCUAUUGAACUCUAUCGUGAGCAAAGCUGAAAAACGUCCAUUUCACAUGAUAAACUUUUGCUUGGUGCUGCUAGGGAAGCCGUGAAAACAAACUGGGAAUAUAAUUUACUGAAAAGUUUAUUGCAAAUAAUUUAUGAUGGAAGGAUGUUUGUGGAAAGGAUGGGGUUUUAUCAGAAACGUUGAAGGUAUUGUUGUUCAAUCAAUUGGUUUCAUUUGGUUGUUAUGUGCAUUCUUGAACUUUCAAAAAUUUGGAGUUUGGUAUGAGUUGCACUUGUCAUUGUAUUGAGAUGUACUAAGGACUGAAGAAAAUUUUAUUUGUUGAUUAUAUUUUUGAAAUGGUAGAUAUUGUGUUUAUUCGUAUAAUUAUUAUUGAAUAUUAUGAUUGGUAUAUCACAUAAUAUCCUGGAAUUUGUCCAAAUCGAAAGAGACCCCUUUAUGUUCUGAAAAUACAAAUGUCAAGGUUUUGCAAAUAACUUAAGUGUACUUUUCAAAAGAUAAAUGAUCAAGGAAAUAUAUGCACUUGAGGCAUUGGCUCUUGCUAUCUGCUGAAGAUAAAAUAAUUUAUUUUGAUAUUGUGAAGGAUUAGGUUUAAUUGAUUGUGGUUGUUGUUCCUCUUAUUCUGCUUAGCCUUGAACAUUGUACAAGAAUGUUCUCUCUAUUUACAGGUGGCCUAAUGUCCCAUAACUAAUUUUAUAAUUUUAGUUUUUUAUUCAGUUUUUUAGUUGUAAAGUUCACUAAUUUUUUAUUAUGUUAUUAGAUUAUCUUAAGGCGGAUUGUAAUUUUUAUUGAUUUUUCAAAACUUAAAUUAUUUUGUGAAUCAUUGGUUUAAGCAAUUUAUCUUUUCUAUCUCUUUGAAAUAUAGAGAUAACAAUUGUUGAAAUAUGGUAUGAUUUCAUGUCAAAAAAUUUGUUUUGGUAAAACUUUAACACGACUUUCUUCCUCAUUCCAGUGAUCAGCUAUGCAACAAUGAUUGUCAUUGCAUUUCUUUUUGUGAUGGGGCUUCCAAUUUACAAGUUCCAAAGAGAAGACAUCAAUCAAGUUUGAUGAGAUAAAUGACU